UUCUUAUCAAGAGAGACGGAGGGAUUGGCCCGAUGAUGUCUCAGCAACCAGCCGGGUUUCGGCAAGGUGCUAAUUCCAAUAGGUAUAAGUCAUACCUUGAAGAUAAGAA
RNAcentral lists this non-coding RNA (109 nucleotides) under Bacillus sp. (in: firmicutes). Its description in RNAcentral is "Bacillus sp. SAM-I sequence". It matches the Rfam family "SAM riboswitch aptamer (S box leader)". From Rfam's summary of the family: The SAM riboswitch is found upstream of a number of genes which code for proteins involved in methionine or cysteine biosynthesis in Gram-positive bacteria. The SAM riboswitch acts at the level of transcription termination control. The predicted structure consists of a complex stem-loop region followed by a single stem loop terminator region. The record is from RNAcentral. Lineage: Bacteria; Bacillati; Bacillota; Bacilli; Caryophanales; Bacillaceae. RNAcentral also lists the same sequence under 1 other name.